Molecule: long non-coding RNA, 637 nt
Organism: Spea bombifrons (plains spadefoot toad)
Lineage: Eukaryota; Metazoa; Chordata; Amphibia; Anura; Pelobatidae
Exons: 4
Source: RefSeq, a predicted model, not a curated record
UUCAUUGUGAUUUCUUUUAUUUUUUUUAGCAAGUUUAAAAUGGAACAACCUUCUCCGGCUCUUUAGAAGGACUUUUCUCAUUGUCCCCGCUCCAGAAGGGUGUGCCCAAAUUCUAAACGACCAGCUGGUGGUUGGGAAUUCAUACGUUGGUUCGCAAGAAACCUCGUCUCUGCCCAAAGCGGCGCAUGUUCAGGCUGUGGGCAAAGAUUCCGCCCCGGUCCCAGCAACAAUGGAAGUCAUUGCGGGUUUUUCUGAAAGGACCGGAAUGAAAAUGAACUGGGCCCAAAAAUGUCUUGAAGACAACAGCUGGGAUGUAGAAAAAGCAGCAGAAAUAUUUGCAGCUCUUAAGGAUAAAGGAACCGUGCCAAGGGAGGCCUUUUCUGACCCGCAGGACGCGUUUGGCAUGAAGGGCUAAACGCGCAAAACGCUUUACCGCACCCAGAGAGUUUUCACACUUUAUAUAAUUUGUACUUCGCGGAGUUAACUUUCAUUUUGGAUCAUGUUGUAAAUGUUUACUAUAGUUUUUUGUAAUUUUGUUAAUUUAUAUAAUAACAGUAAUAUCGUUCAAGAUAACAUGUUUUAUUGUUUUGUUGUGAAAUUUCCCAGGAAUAACGCACAGUGGUUACAAUUCGUGAUA